CUUGGUCAUUUAGAGGAAGUAAAAGUCGUAACAAGGUUUCCGUAGGUGAACCUGCGGAAGGAUCAUUAUCGAAUCGUAGGCGAGGGUUGUCGCUGGCCUCUCGGGGCAUGUGCACGCCCGAGCCCUUGAAUCCCAAACACCACAUGUGAACCCACCGUAGGCCUUCGGGCCUAUGUCUUAUCAUAUAAUCUGAAUGUCUAAUAGAAUGUAAACCCAUUUCGUUGCCUUGAAAACGUAACGAAAGAAAACUAUACAACUUUCAACAACGGAUCUCUUGGCUCUCGCAUCGAUGAAGAACGCAGCGAAAUGCGAUAAGUAAUGUGAAUUGCAGAUUUUCAGUGAAUCAUCGAAUCUUUGAACGCACCUUGCGCCCCUUGGUAUUCCGAGGGGCAUGCCUGUUUGAGUGUCAUUAAAUCCUCAACCCCUCCGAUUCGUUUCGGUGGGGAUUGGACUUGGAGCGUGCUGGCGAAGGUCGGCUCCUCUUUAAAUGCAUCAGCGGAGAAAAUGCCUUUUGCGCCUCUGGCCGUUCAGCGUGAUAAUGAUGUUGCGCUGCGGUCGAGCUUAAGGUCCGCUUCCAAAGGUCCUCGGACAAAUAUACAUAUGACUUUUGACCUCAAAUCAGGUAGGACUACCCGCUGAACUUAAGCAUAUCAAUAAGCGGAGGA
Molecule: ribosomal RNA, 665 nt
Filed under: Tylospora asterophora
Lineage: Eukaryota; Fungi; Basidiomycota; Agaricomycetes; Atheliales; Atheliaceae
Also listed under: 1 other name
Description: partial contains small subunit ribosomal RNA, internal transcribed spacer 1, 5.8S ribosomal RNA, internal transcribed spacer 2, and large subunit ribosomal RNA
Rfam family: 5.8S ribosomal RNA (bases 255-409)
Source: RNAcentral